RNAcentral lists this long non-coding RNA (216 nucleotides) under Homo sapiens (human). RNAcentral describes it as "non-protein coding lnc-ZNF333-4:3". The record is from RNAcentral. Lineage: Eukaryota; Metazoa; Chordata; Mammalia; Primates; Hominidae.
AUGUCUGCCAUUUUCAAUAUUCAGAGUCUAUUGACUGUAAUCUUGCUGCUUAUAUGUACCUGUGCUUAUAUUCGAUCCUUGGCACCCAGCCUCCUGGACAGAAAUAAAACUGGAUUGUUGGGUAUAUUUUGGAAGUGUGCCAGAAUUGGUGAACGGAAGAGUCCUUAUGUUGAAGUAUGCUGUAUAGUAAUGGCCUUCAGCAUCCUCUUCAUACAG